This 400-nucleotide unclassified non-coding RNA is filed under the name uncultured fungus. Its description in RNAcentral is "sequence contains ITS1". Lineage: Eukaryota; Fungi. The record is from RNAcentral.
AACGUCAUCCCCACCUUCCUCCAACUUAUCACCGGCAAUCUGUUCAGGGUUCCAAACUCAACGAUGGUAACUAAACACGAGGGUUGCGCUCAUUGCGGGACUUAACCCAACACCGUUCGGCACGAGCUGACAACAGCCAUGCACCACCUGUGUCCGCAUUCCCGAAGGCACCCCUCUCUUUUAAGAGGAUUCACGGCAUGUCAAGCCGUGGUAAGUUUCUUUGCUUUGCAUCGAAUUAAACCACAUGCUCCACUGCUUGUGCGGGGCCCCGUCAAUUCCAUUGAGUUUCACUCUUACGAACAUACUCCCCAGACGGGAUACUUAACGCGUUAGCAAUAGCACUGCAUGGGUUGAUACGCACAGCACCGAGUAUCCAUCGUUUACAGCUAGCACUACUAGG